CGGGGGGGGGGCAAGCGUUGUUCGGAAUUACUGGGCGUAAAGGGCGCGCAGGCGGCCUGGCAAGUCCUACGUGAAAUCCCACAGCUCAACUGUGGAACUGCGUGGGAUACUGCUAGGCUUGAGUCCGGGAGAGGAGAGUGGAAUUCCCAGUGUAGCGGUGAAAUGCGUAGAUAUUGGGAGGAACACCGGUGGCGAAGGCGGCUCUCUGGACCGGUACUGACGCUGAGGCGCGAAAGCUAGGGGAGCAAACGGGAUUAGAUACCCCGGUAGUCCUAGCCGUAAACUUUGAGCACUUGGUGUGGCGGGUAUCGACCCCUGCCGUGCCGAAGCUAACGCAUUAAGUGCUCUGCCUGGGGAGUACGGUCGCAAAGGCUG
Molecule: ribosomal RNA, 375 nt
Filed under: uncultured organism
Description: partial 16S ribosomal RNA
Rfam family: Bacterial small subunit ribosomal RNA
Source: RNAcentral